AAUUGGAGGGCAAGUCUGGUGCCAGCAGCUGCGGUAAUUCCAGCUCCAAUAGCGUAUAUUAAAGUUGUUGCAGUUAAAAAGCUCGUAGUUGAAUUUCGGGAUCAAUAUUUCGGUCAUGCCGUUGGUAUGCACUGUUAUCAUUGAUUUCUCACCUUCUAAAGAACCGUAAUGCCAUUAAUUUGGUGUUACGGGGAAUUAGGACUGUUACCUUGAAAAAAUUAGAGUGUUUAAAGCAGGCUCACGCUUGAAUACAUUAGCAUGGAAUAAUGAAAUAGGACAUCCGAUUCUAUUUUGUUGGUUUCUAGGAUCGAUGUAAUGAUUAAUAGGGAUAGUUGGGGGCAUUAGUAUUCAAUUGUCAGAGGUGAAAUUCUUGGAUUUAUUGAAGACUAACUACUGCGAAAGCAUUUGCCAAGGAUGUUUUCAUUAAUCAAGAACGAAAGUUAGGGGAUCGAAGACGAUCAGAUACCGUCGUAGUCUUAACCAUAAACUAUGCCGACUAGGGAUCGGAUGAUGUUAAUUUUUUAAUGACUCAUUCGGCGCCUUACGGGAAACCAAAGUGU
RNAcentral lists this ribosomal RNA (560 nucleotides) under uncultured Glomus. Its description in RNAcentral is "SSU rRNA". It matches the Rfam family "Eukaryotic small subunit ribosomal RNA", at positions 546 to 1106 of the family's 1831-position model. Lineage: Eukaryota; Fungi; Glomeromycota; Glomeromycetes; Glomerales; Glomeraceae. The record is from RNAcentral.